UGGGGAAUAUUGCACAAUGGACGAAAGUCUGAUGCAGCAACGCCGCGUGGAGGAUGACACAUUUCGGUGCGUAAACUCCUUUUAUAUGAGAAGAUAAUGACGGUAUUAUAUGAAUAAGCACCGGCUAACUCCGUGCCAGCAGCCGCGGUAAUACGGGGGGUGCAAGCGUUACUCGGAAUCACUGGGCGUAAAGAGCAUGUAGGCGGAUUAAUAAGUUUGAAGUGAAAUCCUAUAGCUUAACUAUAGAACUGCUUUGAAAACUGUUAAUCUAGAAUGUGGGAGAGGUAGAUGGAAUUUCUGGUGUAGGGGUAAAAUCCGUAGAGAUCAGAAGGAAUACCGAUUGCGAAGGC
Molecule: ribosomal RNA, 350 nt
Filed under: uncultured bacterium
Lineage: Bacteria
Description: bacterial SSU rRNA
Rfam family: Bacterial small subunit ribosomal RNA
Source: RNAcentral